UUUCAUCAUCGGGAGCACAACAUCAUGCAGCAUGAUUUCAUUAGUCGAGGAAACUGAGGUAAAACUGAGGGAAAUAAGCGAUUAUCUACUGAAAUUAAAGUCAACCGAAGUCGAUAUUAAUCCGACUAUAAAAUGGAGGUUUCAGAGGUCAGAUAUCUUCAUCAGUCUUCAUCAGUUUGUGUCCGUAGUCAUUAUCAAAGAUCUCUUAUAAAGAGGCAGAAGAUCAGAACUGAAGCGACAAUCAUCAGACAUCCAACAGCAACACAACAGAUCACAACUAUAUGAUCUAAGCAUCUAUGGCUAUAUGGAGGGCAAUCUGACAUCUCCAGUUCAUUUGAUGUCUUUGGACUGUGAAAGGAAAUCGGAGCACACCCACGUUAACACAGGGAGAGAAUGCAAACUCAAAGGCCACCCGACCAGCCAGAGCUUGAACUCGCGAUCUUGUUGCUGUGAGGUAACCGUGCUACCCACUCUGCCACCAAAGUUGGUAUUUUAAAGCUUAGAAACGUAGCUGUAGUUUUAAACAAUUACAAAUUAUAUUUGCAUUUCUGCCUUUGCUAAUUAGAUUUUACUAAUUUUGGAGCCUUUAAUUUACAACAUUAAAAAUGAUGUCUUAGUUUAAUGCUUUCAUUUCAUUUAUUUACAAACAAAAUCUUUACAUUAG
Molecule: non-coding RNA, 664 nt
Organism: Misgurnus anguillicaudatus (oriental weatherfish)
Lineage: Eukaryota; Metazoa; Chordata; Actinopteri; Cypriniformes; Cobitidae
Source: RefSeq, a predicted model, not a curated record